RNAcentral lists this ribosomal RNA (419 nucleotides) under uncultured bacterium. RNAcentral describes it as "bacterial SSU rRNA". It matches the Rfam family "Bacterial small subunit ribosomal RNA", at positions 960 to 1392 of the family's 1533-position model. The record is from RNAcentral.
UACCGAAAACUUACCAGGGAUUGACAUGACGGUAGUAGUGAAGCGAAAGCGGAACGACCCUUCGGGGAGCCGUCACAGGUGAUGCAUGGCUGUCGUCAGCUCGUGCCGUGAGGUGUUUGGUUAAGUCCACUAACGAGCGCAACCCCUAGUGCCAGUUACAAGUGUCUGGCGCGACUGCCGGUAUUAAGCCGGAGGAAGGUGGGGAUGACGUCAAGUCAGCAUGUCCUUUAUACCCUGGGCGACACACACGCUACAAUGGCCAGCACAAUGGGUCGCCAAGCCGUGAGGCGGAGCCAAUCCUAAAAAGCUGGUCUCAGUUCGGAUUGCAGGCUGCAACCCGCCUGCAUGAAGUCGGAGUUGCUAGUAACCGCAGGACAGCUAUACUGCGGUGAAUACGUUCCCGGGUCUUGUACACACCG